This 253-nucleotide ribosomal RNA is filed under the name uncultured bacterium. RNAcentral's name for it is "partial 16S ribosomal RNA". It matches the Rfam family "Bacterial small subunit ribosomal RNA", at positions 524 to 776 of the family's 1533-position model. The record is from RNAcentral.
UACGUAGGGGGCAAGCGUUAUCCGGAAUUACUGGGUGUAAAGGGAGAGUAGGCGGCAUGGUAAGUUAGAUGUGAAAGCCCGGGGCUUAACCUCGGGAUUGCAUUUAAAACUAUCAAGCUAGAGUACAGGAGAGGUAAGUGGAAUUCCUAGUGUAGCGGUGAAAUGCGUAGAUAUUAGGAGGAACACCAGUGGCGAAGGCGGCUUACUGGACUGUAACUGACGUUGAGGCUCGAAAGCGUGGGGAGCAAACAGG